Long non-coding RNA from Spea bombifrons (plains spadefoot toad), 184 nucleotides. RefSeq lists it as uncharacterized. NCBI's taxonomy places the organism in Eukaryota, Metazoa, Chordata, Amphibia, Anura, Pelobatidae. The record is from RefSeq and is a predicted model, not a curated record. The transcript has 2 exons.
CCGGUCACUGAUUGACAGCUUCAAGCAGCCAAUCGGUGGCAAGAAUCACGGGUAAGAAGGCAGCUUUUGCAGCAUGGUUGCAAUUUAUAUGUUAAACAUCCAGAGCCAGCUCCGAAAUGAUUUCACCUCCCGUGUUACUGAAAAAGGUGGACGGAGAGAGUAGAGAUAUACACACAAGAGUAAA